Brassica oleracea var. oleracea is the source of this 532-nucleotide long non-coding RNA. RefSeq lists it as uncharacterized. Lineage: Eukaryota; Viridiplantae; Streptophyta; Magnoliopsida; Brassicales; Brassicaceae. The record is from RefSeq and is a predicted model, not a curated record. The transcript is spliced from 2 exons.
AUACGAAAGUAAUAUUCCUUUUCUUUUAGUUUUCUUUUUUUCUGAUGACCCAAUCUAUCAUUCACGAAAGAAAUCCAAGCUGCUUUCUUAUCUUCUGUUCUUUUUCACCUUUUCUGUCCAGGAAAUCCUCUUACUAGGUUAAGCCGCUGGCUUUUCACCUCAGAGUCAGACCGGGCUCCCACAGCCAUGCCGCAGUCUGAUUUGUUCAUCUGUCGUUUUGUUUUUAGUUUCUAUCUAGGUUUUAUGAUUUCUCUAGCUUUUAGUUAUGAUUUCUUCUAAAGGCAGAUCUAGUUUCUAAAUCUCAGAUCUAGAGAAGGAGGUUAAGCAACAGCGUUAGUGCUUUGGGCUUUAGAGUGGUUGUGUCUUGGCAGCAGUGCGCCGUUGGGGUUCUCGCCUUGCUGGGGUCUAGCCGUCAGAUCCGUGGGUUGCUUUCGUUUCUCACUGGUUCCAAUCAAAGGGUCAUGUAAAUUUGACGGGCUGCACUACACAAUAAAUAUGAAUGUUAGCAGGGGCCAUACUAUGACAUACUCAG